RNAcentral lists this ribosomal RNA (493 nucleotides) under uncultured bacterium. RNAcentral's name for it is "partial 16S ribosomal RNA". It matches the Rfam family "Bacterial small subunit ribosomal RNA", at positions 28 to 507 of the family's 1533-position model. The record is from RNAcentral.
GACGAACGCUGGCGGCGUGCUUAACACAUGCAAGUCGAACGGUGAAGCGCCUUCCUUUUGGUGGGUGUGGAUGAGUGGCGAACGGGUGAGUAACACGUGAGUAACCUGCCCCCUUCUUCUGGAUAACCGCAUGAAAGUGUGGCUAAUACGGGAUAUUCUGGGUCUGUCGCAUGGCGGGCCUGGGAAAGAUAUUGUUUCGGUGGGGGAUGGGCUCGCGGUCUAUCAGCUUGUUGGUGGGGUGAUGGCCUACCAAGGCGGUGACGGGUAGCCGGCCUGAGAGGGUGGACGGUCACACUGGGACUGAGACACGGCCCAGACUCCUACGGGAGGCAGCAGUGGGGAAUAUUGCACAAUGGGCGCAAGCCUGAUGCAGCGACGCCGCGUGGGGGAUGGAGGCCUUCGGGUUGUAAACCUCUUUCGCCAGUGAAGCAGGCCUGUCCCUUUUGUGGGUGGGUUGACGGUAGCUGGAUAAGAAGCGCCGGCUAACUACGUG